CCAACCAAAGAGCAAAUUUCUACAAAGACGAUGGCCUCAUAGACCGGAGCCCUUCUGACAACAUGGAAAUUAACAGUGUUUCCAGGUCUGAUGAAGGACGAUACAAGUGCAGCAUUUCUGGUGUUGGAACAUCACCAGAAAGCUGGCUUCAUGUCAGAUCAUAUUCUUCAGCAGAGACCCCGUCAGAUGACUCCAAUUCCACUCCUGACUUAUUCCUGCUGUGGAUUGUGUUUCCUAUUUUAGUGAUAAUAUUGACACUGCUGGUAGUCGGAUUUCUUAAUACUUGCAAACACAGAGUUUCCUCAAAGACAUCAUCAGCGACAAACUCACAUGGAGACCAUCCAGGAGAUGAUGACAUGUUAUAUUCUAGAGCCAUUUACUACACCUUACGCCCGGGAGAGACUGAACUCAAAGGU
This is a long non-coding RNA of Astatotilapia calliptera (eastern happy), 416 nucleotides long. The record is from Ensembl. NCBI's taxonomy places the organism in Eukaryota, Metazoa, Chordata, Actinopteri, Cichliformes, Cichlidae.